Non-coding RNA from Phascolarctos cinereus (koala), 429 nucleotides. The record is from RefSeq and is a predicted model, not a curated record. NCBI's taxonomy places the organism in Eukaryota, Metazoa, Chordata, Mammalia, Diprotodontia, Phascolarctidae.
GAGGCUGGCUGGAACAUGGACCCCCUCAGGAGGAUUUAUUGGAAUACGUGGACAAGUCACACAAGGAGAGAAGACUUGAUAUCUUUAGGGUUCCACCAUUGCAGGAAGCUCCCAAAUUAAUGUGUGCAAAAACUGGCUGUCUUGUGUAUUUACAUCCCCAGCACCUACCACAAUGCCUGCCACCUGGGGCCUGUUCCUCCCCCAACAUGGUGAAUUCAGCAGUGGAUCCUGAAAUGGAGACAUAGUAGGAGGGCCUGGAGCCACUGAAAACACUACACUAAGUGCAGCAAGGGAAGGCAGAGAGGAGACCCUCUGAUUCUCAGCAGCAUCUCUGGCCUUAGCAAGUCACCGGGUGAAUGACCUCAGAUCUAUCCUUUGCAUUGUGCCCUGGAUCAGCACACCUGUGUUCUCUAGAACCAGCUCCUCCAC